UGGGGAAUAUUGGACAAUGGGGGAAACCCUGAUCCAGCAAUGCCGCGUGUGUGAAGAAGGCCUUCGGGUUGUAAAGCACUUUAAGUUGGGAAGAAAAAGCUCACCCUAAUACGGUGAGCCUUGACGGUACCGACAGAAUAAGCACCGGCUAACUCUGUGCCAGCAGCCGCGGUAAUACAGAGGGUGCUAGCGUUAAUCGGAUUUACUGGGCGUAAAGCGUGCGUAGGCGGUUGGGUAAGUCGGAUGUGAAAGCCCUGGGCUUAACCUGGGAAUGCCAUUCGAUACUGCCCGACUCGAGUUCGGUAGAGGGCGGUGGAACUCCAGGUGUAGCGGUGAAAUGCGUAGAUAUCUGGAAGAACACCAAUGGCGAAGGCAACCGCCUGGGCCUGAACUGACGCUGAGGCACGAAAGCGUGGGGAGCAAACAGGAUUAGAUACCCCCGUAGUCC
Molecule: ribosomal RNA, 448 nt
Filed under: uncultured bacterium
Lineage: Bacteria
Description: bacterial SSU rRNA
Rfam family: Bacterial small subunit ribosomal RNA
Source: RNAcentral